Tympanuchus pallidicinctus (lesser prairie-chicken) is the source of this 3740-nucleotide long non-coding RNA. RefSeq lists it as uncharacterized. NCBI's taxonomy places the organism in Eukaryota, Metazoa, Chordata, Aves, Galliformes, Phasianidae. The transcript has 4 exons. The record is from RefSeq and is a predicted model, not a curated record.
CAAACACCUGCAAGAAAACAAAGUGUUAGUUAAUUAAGCCUCAAAGGAGACUUCUAGAAACAAUUGUAAGCUGAAAAUGACAAUGAUUUCUUCAAUUAGAGAUCCUGGACCAAGAUAAAAAUAUAUAUUCUUGGCAUUUUACAGAUUUUAAAAAGGCAAAAUAUUUCUUUUUUUAAAUAAGAAUGUACGAACCCAAUCCAAUAACUCAAACUCUGGCCUUACUCUCACUUGCCUGAAGAACCCUUUACAAAACAUUAAAUGGACCCACUUCAAGGCCACUUGAGAAGUUCAUCAUGUAACAGAGAAACAAAACAGGCCCCUGGGUGCUCUGUUUCAGGGCAUACUGCAUUUUCAGUACAUCAGGCACAUUCUAGUUAGGCAGCAUUAAUUCCCUGCUUCAUUAUGAACUAGGGAAUACACUGAAUAUGCUUCUCCCUCCAACGCUCUGUUGUACACCCUUUACAUCCCAGUUGAACACAAGCACCUAACGUUCACUCUUUCAACAGCUCUAGAAGAGUUUCUUUGACAUUUUACUCAGCUCCUGAACUAGGAAGAAUUACAAGCAGUAAAGCAAUUAAAUUAACAUGAAGGUGCUAUGAGUUUCUGCACUGAUUUUUGCUAUGGGAAGAUCUGGGGGAAUUAGGGUAUCCAGUAGAAAAAAUCAAGACAGUAGAUGGUUUGAACUCAGAUGAUAUUGCUGCAAAGAUUCUUUUCAGAAAUCCCUGAGUUUCUAGCAUAGUAACAUCUGCAUAAUCCUCCCAUGUAUUCAGAAGUGCUGGUUACCAAUACUCAUGCAGCAAUAUCAGAUACAAGUGUCUAAAGAACUUUUUUGCUCCACAGGCACCGUGCAGCAUGGCACAACUGGAGAUAGGAAAAGUAAAGAACAGGCUCUCACAGCUUAUAUUAGCAGAUGCACUAGGAAGUUAGUGGCAAAGUGAACAGAUCUGGACAUUCUAUCAUUUAAGACAUGCACAGGUGAUGUGAAGUUUGCUAAAAUCUAGCCAUGCAAGAGUGUAGCAUCUCCAGUGAUGAUCCCCUCCUUUAAAAGGGUCUCCGCAGGCAGUGAAAGAUGUAAGUGGGUAUUUUUAUACCUUUGGGAUUUGAUUCUUUCCACAGAUGGCUCUUUGGGAGUCAGCAGAUCACAGUACCCUAAGUACCAGCAAAACUGACUUUUGAAGCAGAACUACUGUUUCACCUUAACAAGUCAGUAUUAUAAAGCCUGUGGCCAUGGAACUUCCAAUGCAAAAAAGGUACUAAAGUCUCCUCAUCCAACCCUACUUCUACAUUUUUACCGUGACUCUGUGAAUGUAACACAGAUUUUACAGGAAUGUUCCCAUUUUCAAUAUUCUGAUGUCUCCCAUUCUGAAGUGGUUUGCUCGAGCCAUUUGCAGAUUGGAUUAACCGCUGGCGCUGCACAGUAUUGAAGACAAAACUGCUAAAUUUACAGUGGACAACAGCUAGUGGAAAAACCAUUCCUAUGUGCCUGGGUUUUCUACAUGAAAAGGAAAUAGGUGGACGGGCAAGCAGUGUGUGAUAUUUCCCUCUAUGAUAGAGUGGCCAUAGAGAUGAAUCUUUGAAGUAUACAACAGAAUCAUGGAAUCCUAAGAACUCUCCAACCUAAAUCUACUCUCUUUAAGUUUGAAGCCAUUUCCUCUUGUAUCACCAUAGAUCCUGCUAAAGAGUCUGCCCCCUUCUUUCUUGUAGCUUCCCUUUAGAUACUGAAAGGCUGCUAUCAGGUCACCUCACAGCCUUCUCUUCCCCACGCUCAACAGCCUCAGCUCUUAGCCUGUCCUCGUAGGAAAGGUGUUCCAUCCUUUGGAUCAUUUUUGUGGCCCUCUUCCGGAUGCACUCCAACAGGUGUAUUUCUCUCCUGUACUGAGGACAUCACAGCUGGAUACAGAACUCCAGGUGAGGCUUCACCAGCACAGAGUAGAGGGGCAGAUUCACCUCCCUCGACCUGCUGUCCACGCUUCUUUUGAUGCAGCUCAGGAUAUGGUUGGCUUUCUCUUGGCCUUGAACACCAUCAGGGAUGAGGCGUUCACACCUUCUCCAGGCAACAUGUUCCAGUGCAUCACCACUCUCUAAGUAAACAGUAUUUUCCCAACAUCUAACCUAAAUUUCCCCUUUUAGUUUAAAGCCAUUCUCCCUUGUCAUAAGAAGGCAGUCUCCCUCCAGCUUAUAAGCUCACUUUAAGUAUUAUAAGGCCAUAAUGAGGUCUCUCUGGAGCCUCCUCUUAUCCAGGCUAAACAAGUCCAGCUCUCUCCUUUCUUUAUAGGAGAGGUGCUCCAGCCUGCUGAUCAUCUUCAUUGCCCUCCUCUGGAUUUGCCCCAACAUUUCUGCAUUGUUCUUCUGUUAGGGCCCUAGGCCUGGAUGCAGUACUCCAGAUGGGGUCUUACAAAGGUGGACUAGAGGAGGACAAUCACCUCAUUCAUGCUGCUGGCCACCCCUCUUUUGAUGCAGCCCAAGAUAUGGAUGUCCCCUUAGACUGCAAGCAUGUCAGCAGCUGCUGGCUCAUGUUCCCAGGACCUUCUUGGCAGGCCUGCUCUCAAGGAGUUCUCCCAGUCGGUACAAAUACGUGGGAUUGUUCCAGCCCAACUGCAACACACUGCACUUGGCAUUGUCGGUUGGACUCACUAGGUUCUUGUGAGCUCACUUUUCAAGCCUAUCCAGGCAUCACUUCUUCCUAUUCAGCUGCACCCUUAAGUUUGUUGUCAUACAUGCAGAUGACAUCAGAAACCAAAAAACACCUAAAAAAUAAAAACCUUUAACAUCUGUAUUCUAAUACUGAAUCACCUUUUUCCUAUGUCCCCUCAAUACAUCAAUUCCCUAGCAGGUAUCCUCUAAAACUUGAUACGACUGUACCUCCAUGUAAGAGUGAUAGACUUCAAUAUAUCAUAGUCAGUGUUCACAAAAAAAAUCAUUGCAAAUGAGACAAACAUAUUUCAAAGACAUCUUCACUUAAUUAUGCUACCAUUAGAGUUACUUUAAAUUCAAUAUUAAAUGGCUGUCUAAACAACGUAAAUGAGUAUGUGCGCUAUCACUGUAUAAGCGCAAGUGAUGCUACCUACUUUUAAGAGAUCCUGGUAUAAGACCAAAAGCAGAAAAGAGCAGGAUUACCUGCAUCUGCUGUAAAUUCCUGUUUGUCAUUAUUUUUUACUACAUGGGGACCUUUCCAAAUUUUUCUUCAUUGUUGCUGAGCUCAUCUUCUAGAAUGUGAGAUGUUUGCUAAGAACACAGCAAGGAGAUCUCACUCAUAAAGAGUCGCUCAAGCUCACUGAACGAUAUAGCUGGAGCUUUGAACAGAGCAAUGAUUUUUCUCUAUAGAAAAAAAAAAGGGAAUAGUAGAAAGAAAGGCAAACAAGCUUAGAGAAAAAAAAAACCAAAAACAACCAAAAAGCAAAAAAACCAACAACCUGGGCAUGUUUUUUUACCUGCUGUACCUGAUGUUGAGUGUCAUCUUCUUACCCUUUAUGAUAACGAAACAAACAGUGAAGAAUCUGCAUUGGUCACUUUUACAUAUGUGCUUGGCAAUGUAUGCAGAGCUAUACAGGCAUGUCAAAAUCAGUCUUUUGAAGAUCUUCUGAACUCAACAUGUAAUCCCUUUUGCCCACUGAUCUGUGGCCUUUCUCUCCAUCUACACUCAACCUUGAGCUUUUAGUUCCAAACUAGUCAUUCUUUUUUUUCAAGUGAAAACAACCUUCUUCUUGGCAAAAAAAUAUUUCUUCCACAGCUGAACAGAA